This 483-nucleotide ribosomal RNA is filed under the name bacterium MACB. Its description in RNAcentral is "bacterial SSU rRNA". It matches the Rfam family "Bacterial small subunit ribosomal RNA", at positions 30 to 500 of the family's 1533-position model. The record is from RNAcentral. Lineage: Bacteria; Pseudomonadati; Pseudomonadota; Gammaproteobacteria; Enterobacterales; Enterobacteriaceae.
AUUGAACGCUGGCGGCAGGCCUAACACAUGCAAGUCGAACGGUAACAGGAAGCAGCUUGCUYCUUUGCUGACGAGUGGCGGACGGGUGAGUAAUGUCUGGGAAACUGCCUGAUGGAGGGGGAUAACUACUGGAAACGGUAGCUAAUACCGCAUAACGUCGCAAGACCAAAGAGGGGGACCUUCGGGCCUCUUGCCAUCGGAUGUGCCCAGAUGGGAUUAGCUUGUUGGUGGGGUAACGGCUCACCAAGGCGACGAUCCCUAGCUGGUCUGAGAGGAUGACCAGCCACACUGGAACUGAGACACGGUCCAGACUCCUACGGGAGGCAGCAGUGGGGAAUAUUGCACAAUGGGCGCAAGCCUGAUGCAGCCAUGCCGCGUGUAUGAAGAAGGCCUUCGGGUUGUAAAGUACUUUCAGCGGGGAGGAAGGGAGUAAAGUUAAUACCUUUGCUCAUUGACGUUACCCGCAGAAGAAGCACCGGCUAA